This 253-nucleotide ribosomal RNA is filed under the name uncultured bacterium. RNAcentral's name for it is "partial 16S ribosomal RNA". It matches the Rfam family "Bacterial small subunit ribosomal RNA", at positions 524 to 776 of the family's 1533-position model. The record is from RNAcentral.
UACGAGGGGGGCGAGCGUUGUUCGGAAUUAUUGGGCGUAAAGGGUGCGUAGGCGGUUUGGUAAGUCUUAUGUGAAAUCCUGGAGCUCAACUCCAGAACUGCCUUUGAUACUGAGGAUCUUGAGUUCGGGAGAGGUGAGUGGAACUGCGAGUGUAGAGGUGAAAUUCGUAGAUAUUCGCAAGAACACCAGUGGCGAAGGCGGCUCACUGGCCCGAUACUGACGCUGAGGCACGAAAGCGUGGGGAGCAAACAGG